Molecule: long non-coding RNA, 550 nt
Filed under: Coturnix japonica (Japanese quail)
Lineage: Eukaryota; Metazoa; Chordata; Aves; Galliformes; Phasianidae
Description: lncRNA (ENSCJPG00005019708.1)
Source: RNAcentral
CAAGGAUCAUUAUGUGCCUACACGAUCUCAGAGGCUGCCACAUACAGCUGUGCUCCCUGCUGUCAGCUGGCUCAUCGCCAUGCCUAAUUUAAUGUUUGCCCUGUUUGCAAUAGUCAGCAAGGGCAAAUUCUCCAUCCCGGAAAAUCAAAUGUAUGCUGACACAAUGAAGUGAUUCUGAACACACAAUCACCUUUAUGUCAUGUGUAAACCGCCUUCUGACAGUGGAUGCCAGCUCUGAGCUGGGUCUGAUCCCCUUGCUCAGGGGUUUCAUCUGGUAGGGGCUUUGCUCUCUGAUGCCAUCAGACUAUCCACAGGAAUCUGGGGCUCCUUCCAUUUGUACCAGCACAAAUAAGAUUUCUUGAGCAUCUCGCAGAAGUUACAAGCCAUCUUUCAGGUCCAUACACCGACAGAUCACAGACAUCAACAGAAGCACAAUUGUGGAGGUGGAAUGUAAUUUGCAGGCAUCGUCUUCAUGGAUACUCAGAGCUGUCCCAUAAGAUGACCCUUGGGAUGAAACAUGAGUUCUGUGCUGUUUUUUGGAGGCCAAGAA